CCUACGGGAGGCUGUAGUGGGGAAUAUUGGACAAUGGGCGAAAGCCUGAUCCAGCCAUGCCGCGUGUGUGAAGAAGGCCUUCGGGUUGUAAAGCACUUUCAGUGGGGAAGAAAGCCUUGGGGCUAAUACCCUCGAGGAAGGACAUCACCCACAGAAGAAGCACCGGCUAACUCCGUGCCAGCAGCCGCGGUAAUACGGAGGGUGCGAGCGUUAAUCGGAAUUACUGGGCGUAAAGCGCGCGUAGGCGGUCUGAUAAGCCGGUUGUGAAAGCCCCGGGCUCAACCUGGGAACGGCAUUCGGAACUGUCAGGCUAGAGUGCAGGAGAGGAAGGUAGAAUUCCCGGUGUAGCAGUGAAAUGCGUAGAGAUCGGGAGGAAUACCAGUGGCGAAGGCGGCCUUCUGGACUGACACUGACGCUGAGGUGCGAAAGCGUGGGUAGCAAACAGGAUUAGAUACCCUAGUAGUC
This 465-nucleotide ribosomal RNA is filed under the name Vreelandella stevensii. RNAcentral describes it as "partial 16S ribosomal RNA". It matches the Rfam family "Bacterial small subunit ribosomal RNA", at positions 338 to 795 of the family's 1533-position model. The record is from RNAcentral. Lineage: Bacteria; Pseudomonadati; Pseudomonadota; Gammaproteobacteria; Oceanospirillales; Halomonadaceae.